This 524-nucleotide ribosomal RNA is filed under the name Harrimaniidae sp. n. clade 1 JTC-2014. RNAcentral describes it as "partial 16S ribosomal RNA". It matches the Rfam family "Bacterial large subunit ribosomal RNA", at positions 1846 to 2582 of the family's 2925-position model. Lineage: Eukaryota; Metazoa; Hemichordata; Enteropneusta; Harrimaniidae. The record is from RNAcentral.
UGGGGGGUACUGCCUGCCCAGUGAACUCAUUCAACGGCCGCGGUACCCUGACCGUGCAAAGGUAGCACAAUGACUAGUCUCCUAACUAGGGACCAGUAUCAACGGCAAGACGAGGGCCUGACUGUCUCCUCUCCUAAAAAACUAAACUUCUCUAGUCGUGCAAAAGCGACCAUAACAGCGCAAGACGAGAAGACCCUAUCGAGCUUCAGAGGCCAGAACAGAAAUACACCCCCGGCACACCUAACCCCGAUUACCCGACAAACCCCUUUCCCCCAUUCACCCCCCUCUUUGGUUGGGGCAACCGCGAAGAACACCCACCCUCCGCACUGACAAUCCACGAUUCCAAAUCAAAAAUUACAACCUCUAACACACUCUGACCCAAACAAUUUGAUCAUCGAACCAAGUUACCGUAGGGAUAACAGCGUAAUCCCUUCCAAGAGUUCACAUUGACGAAGGGGUUUGCGACCUCGAUGUUGGAUCGGGUCAUCCUGAUGGUGCAGACGCUAUCAAGGGUUGGUCUGUUC